This 839-nucleotide ribosomal RNA is filed under the name uncultured archaeon. RNAcentral describes it as "bacterial SSU rRNA". It matches the Rfam family "Archaeal small subunit ribosomal RNA", at positions 53 to 898 of the family's 1478-position model. The record is from RNAcentral.
GCGAGUCGAGAGACGUAAGGUCUCGGCGGACCGCUCAGUAACACGUGGAUAACAUGCCCUAAGGUGGGGGAUAAUCUCGGGAAACUGAGGGUAAUACCCCAUAGGUCUGAUAUGCUGGAAUGCUUUCAGGCCGAAAACUCCGGUGCCUUAGGAUUGGUCUGCGGUCUAUCAGGCUGUAGUGGGUGUGAUGGACCCACUAGCCCGUGACGGAUAUGGGCCUUGAGAGAGGGAGCCCAGAGAUGGACUCUGAGACAUGAGUCCAGGCCCUACGGGGCGCAGCAGUCGCGAAAACUUCGCAAUGGGGGCAACCCCGACGAGGGAAUUCCAAGUGCCAGCACUUUGUGUUGGCUGUUCUCCUGUCUAAAAAACAGGAGGAGUAAGGGGCGGGUAAGACGGGUGCCAGCCGCCGCGGUAAUACCCGCGCCCCAAGUGGUGGUCGAUAUUAUUGAGCCUAAAACGUCCGUAGCCGGUCUUCUAAAUCUUUGGGUAAAUCGGACAGCUUAACUGUCCGAAUUCCGGGGAGACUGGGAGACUUGGGACCGGGAGAGGUCAGAGGUACUUCUGGGGUAGGGGUAAAAUCCUGUAAUCCUGGAAGGACCACCGGUGGCGAAGGCGUCUGACUAGAACGGAUCCGACGGUGAGGGACGAAGCCCUGGGGCGCAAACGGGAUUAGAUACCCCGGUAGUCCAGGGUGUAAACGCUGCGGGCUUGGUGUUGGGGGUCCUUAGUGGGCGCCCAGUGCCGGAGAGAAGUUGUUAAGCCUGCUGCUUGGGGAGUAUGUCCGCAAGGAUGAAACUUAAAGGAAUUGGCGGGGGAGCACCGCAACGGGAGGAGCGUGC